RNAcentral lists this small RNA (1243 nucleotides) under Pongo abelii (Sumatran orangutan). RNAcentral describes it as "retained intron". Lineage: Eukaryota; Metazoa; Chordata; Mammalia; Primates; Hominidae. The record is from RNAcentral.
AACGUCUACAAAGCCAAGGUGACAACAUGGAAAAAUACCUAGGUAGAAAAAGGCCACGUAGGCUGGGCACAGGGGCUCACGCCUGUAAUCCCAGCACUUUGGGAGGCCAAGGCAGGCGGAUGACCUGAGAUCAGGAGUUUGAGACCAGCCUGACCAACACGGUGAAACCCCAUCUCUACUAAAAAUGCAAAAAUAGGCCAGUUAUGGUGGGUGCCUGUAAUCCCAGCUACUGGGGAGGCUGAGGCAGGAGAAUCGCUUGAACCCAGGAGGCGGAGGUUGCAGUGAGCCGAGAUUGCUCCACUGUACUCCAGCCUGGGCGACAGAGCAAGACUCUGUCUCAAAAAAAAAAAAAAAAAAAAAGCCACCUAAAUAUGUGCAGUUGGGGGCAAGCAUGUUGCAUGUUCAGAGCUAGAAUGAAGCCCAUCGAAGCUGUGUUAGGGUGAUGGAGCAGGUGAGAUUUCUUUCUUUUGUGGCUCUCACUAUUUUCCUGGGAUGAGGAGGUGGUGUUCAGUGUAAGAAACGAUAUGGAUCUGGGGCCGGGUGCAGUGCCUCAUGCCUGUAAUCCCAGCACUUUGAGAGGCUGAGGUGGGAAGAUCACUUGAAGCCAGGAGUUUGAAACCAUCCUGGGCAACAUGGUGAGACCCUGUCUCUACAAAAAUAAAAAAUAAAUUAGCUGGGCAUGGUGGUGUGCACCUGUAGUCCUAGCUACUCGGGAGGCUGAGGUGGGUGGAUCCCUUGAACCCAGGAGGCGGAGGUUGCAGUGAGCUCUGAUUGUUCCCCUGUGCUCCAGCUUGGACAACAGAGCGAGACUCCAUCUCUGAAAAAUAAAAAACCAGAAAAUGUGAGCCUGGCCUUUUUUCAGGGUUACAACUUCUCGUCAUCACAGUCCAUCACAACCUGGGUGACGUUAGCUGGAUGUGGCCCCGCCCCGAUUUCCAUGAGACUCCUCCUGAACAAUGUUUCCAAGGAGUUGAGCUCCUGAGCCUGGUGCUGAUGAAUUGUAUUGGAGACAGUCCUCAGCGCUGAGUGUGUGUAACGAGUGUCCUCUCUCCACAGGUGCGGUCUGCCUGCAGCCUUUCUGCCACUUGUACUGGGGCUGCACCCGGACCGGCUGCUUCGGCUGCCUGGCCCCGUUCUGUGAAUCUGUAAUGAAAAGAAAUAUGUUUAUCCUCAGUGUCGGGCAGACAGUGCUUUCCUGCGACAUCAUUAUAAACAGGUAACAUUGCCCCUUCAUCUCGGCAGA